RNAcentral lists this ribosomal RNA (253 nucleotides) under uncultured bacterium. RNAcentral describes it as "partial 16S ribosomal RNA". It matches the Rfam family "Bacterial small subunit ribosomal RNA", at positions 524 to 776 of the family's 1533-position model. The record is from RNAcentral.
UACGGAGGGUGCAAGCGUUAAUCGGAAUUACUGGGCGUAAAGCGCGCGUAGGCGGUUAAACAAGUCAGAUGUGAAAGCCCCGGGCUCAACCUGGGAACUGCAUUUGAAACUGUUUAGCUAGAGUGUGGUAGAGGAGAGUGGAAUUUCAGGUGUAGCGGUGAAAUGCGUAGAUAUCUGAAGGAACACCAGUGGCGAAGGCGGCUCUCUGGACCAACACUGACGCUGAGGUGCGAAAGCGUGGGUAGCAAACGGG